Molecule: long non-coding RNA, 453 nt
Organism: Suricata suricatta (meerkat)
Lineage: Eukaryota; Metazoa; Chordata; Mammalia; Carnivora; Herpestidae
Exons: 2
Source: RefSeq, a predicted model, not a curated record
GUGUCAGAUCCCGGGUCGUGCUCACGAACCCCAUGAGGGUCAGCUCAGAAGCGGAGGAUCCAUCCUGCUCUCGUCUCAUUGGCCCGCGCAAGUCACGUGCCAGAGGCCACCAGGCAUGCCUGUAGAAUCCCACCCGCGAGAGAGGUAUCCGGGCUCUCCGGAUGCUGCUGGGAGGAGGCGGUCUACGACAGCUCAACACUUCUUUCCAGAGCCGAGGGCCUCCUCUCCAUGCCUGCAACGCUCCGCCAUGCUGAUGUUUUGAAACAGUGGCUAAUUUGACAAGCCAAUUGGAGUCCCCGGGAUUGCAUUUGACUUUCUGACUAAUGACGAGAGAGGAACUCCCUUCUCUUAGUGCGGCUUACCCGUCGGAUAGCCUUGGGCCAUUGCCUGAUCCCAGUGUUCAAAAUGUUGCCUUGUAAAUUGUCUAAUAAAGUAAUAAAGAAAGGGACUUGA